CACUUACAGGGACUUACCAAUUUGGGAUUCUUCCAGGAGCUGAAAACUGAUUGCAAAUAUGAAACAGAUUUCACUACAGGACUUGAACCCUACAUUAAAAAACAACAAGCUCCCCAAAAUAAUUGAAAAAGAUCUUCACCAAAGAGUAGCUGCAAUGUGAAUGGCAGGAUAUGAAGCAAGUAAGAGAUGGUGAAAAGAUUAUCUUAAGCUUGGAAUUAAGUGAUGAAAGGGACCUUCGAAAUUAUCAACUCUAAAUACUUCUUUACAGGAAAAUUGAAAGCAGUUAAGAACCUGCCCCCUACCGUGGAGUUCUUGGUGCCGUGAGUUGGAGUUCUUGGUGCCUGGGUGCGUCCCCAAGGCCACUGGUCUUCAGAUCUUUCUUACUUGAGAAGAACGCCUCCGCCUCCUGGCUCUCCCACCAGUGGUAUUGCCACCACCACACACCAGCAUAAAGCACAGAUUGCUGCCCAGCUCCUUGGAGAGGGGCCAGUGCAUUUGUCAGGAAUUGAAAAGUUUUGGAGCCAGUUCGAGGACUUUCUCCUGCACAAAGUGUUGGCUGGAAGCAUGAUUAUCUCACACAGAGCGUUGGAAUUACUUCAUGAUGAUUUCAAAGAAAAUUUUCUUCUCUAAACACUCUUAUCCCAAGGGCAUCCUAAAGUUCCUCUGGAAUGCAUUGGGUGGGAGAGAAAGUUCUAUGUCAACUCUUCUGGCAGAGGGAAAAGCUGACCGAGGAAGUCAAAAUGAAAGAAAGAAGCAGACAGGACUGAGGCUCCCUGAGAUGCAGAAACUGAGGCACAGAGCAAGGAUGUGCCACAGCAGAAGCAAGUUGUGUUGGCAGUAGGAAACAAGAUAAAGAGAAGAACUCAAAGAAUUGAGAGAAGGCUUUGAACAUGAUGAUGGAGAAAUAACACUCUUGGGAGAAAUGAAGAUACUUUCUCCUCCCUGGUUUACCUGAGUUUCCAGCACCCAGUGAUAAGAAAGGAUGGCAUUAGUGAUGUGUACACCUGCAGUGAUAGCUUCACCUUUCUAAAGCAGAUGCCGUGGUAGACAUUUUGCCAGCCCUCCUUUCACUAUACACACAGCUUGGUGUACGCUGGCAGACUUUUGACCUAAUUUCUUAACCCUCAAAUAUUCCAAGACAGAACAAAGCACACAACAAAACCAGAAUGAGGCCGGGCAAAGUGGCUCAUGCCCGUAAUCCCAGCACUUUGGGAGGCUAAGGGGUGGGCAGAUCACUUGAGGUCAGGAGUUUGAGACCAGCCUAGGCAACAUGGUGAAACCCAGUCUCUACUGAAAAUACAAAAAUCAGCCGGGUGUGGUGGCAAAUGCCUGUAAUCCCAGCUACUGGGGAGGCUGAGACACAAGAAUCACUUGAACCCAGGAGGGGGAGUUUGCAGUGAGCCGAGAUUGUGCCACUGCAUGCCAGUCUGAACAACAGAGCAAGACUCUGUCACAAAAACAAACAAAAAACUGAAUGAAUGGAAGCAGAUAAGUGCAGAGAGAAACACUGAUUUACCUUCAGAAAGAUAAAAAAGUAGUAUAUUGAUAUACUUGUAUAUUGCUAUCUACUAGUAUAGCUUCAGUUGGUGUAUGAGUAUAGAACUAUUGGGUUGUUCUUUAUGUGAUUACUCCUUCCCAGUUUUAGUAAAGUAUUCCAAUUUGAGGGAAAUUCUUUCAUUUGUCAAUAAAAUAAAAAGAGGUAAGUUUUAAAAUCUGUAUAGUUCUUCCUUCAUGCUAGUUGCCUCUCUUUUUGAUAUUUCUUCUAUAAAAAUCUUUUCUUACAUUCAGUUUUCAUUGUAUAGAUCAUGAAGGAACCAUAGUGAUUAUCAAAGAUCAGCCGAUAAGUUCAAGGCAGAGUUCCACCUUUCCCCAUGAAGCCCUUCCAGACUUGUUUACAUGUAACACCCUUGAAGGCAAGACUCAUGUCUAUGCUAUCUUUGCUGCUAUUUGGCACGUAUUAGGUGUAAGGGCAAUUAGACCAUAUCAAUUAAUGAUCAGUAAGAAUGGAUAAAGUAGAUGUUUUUGUGAGCCUCUCAAAGAAGAUGUAUAGAAUAUUUUGGAAAUGGGCCCAAUUUGUUUCUAAAGGAAAAUUUACUUUCAAAUUAAAAAAAAAAAAUCACUCAAAUGAGAUUUUGGGGGAUUUCAUAUGAUUAACUCUUUACAUUAUCUUGUGGUAAUUAUACAGAAAUCUGUAUUUAUGUAAACACAGUAAAUGCAUCAUAACACUAGAAUAAGUAUACAAAUACUGCAUGUCAAAUUAGGUUAUAAUCACUUUCAAGGGACGUGAUUUCCUAGCUAAACAGAUUCGUUUACAUUUUGCAAAAUAAAAAAUAAGUGAAAAUAACUAUAUAAAAUCAGGCUUACAGCUGGACAGAUCUUCUUGGCAAUGGUCCAGACACUGAGUAGGGAAAAGCCCCUCCAGCUGAGGAACGUUCAGGACGCUCAGGACGACUUUGCAGGCGCGGCCGGGAGAGAGGCCAUUUUUGGGGUUGCCUUGACUGUGCACCCUGUUCCUGGCUACCUAUGGGGAGAUAAGCUGCAUUCACAUAUCAGAUGAGACUCUUUUUGUGAGAGGUCUGGGGUGGGAUGUGGGAAGUGGAGUGAAAACCUGCUUAGUAGGGGAGGAAAAAAACAAGCAAUCCAACACUUCACCUUUAGGUAAUAAACAUAAUAGAAAAAGUCAGGAAUUCUCUAACUAAAAAGCAGACAGUGGAAGCUAGCAUCGGACUCACUGAAUUUUAGAAUCAGGGUCUGUGUACCAUGGAUUAUCUGGCCCUGCCCUUGUCACUGGAUGAGAAGAUUCUGGCUAUAGGGCAAGAAGCAGUGCUUGGACCGAGAUCCAGAAUGUUACCCUCAAAUCUGAAGCUUAUUUAUGAGAUAAAUAAAGCUCAUAUUUUCAAGAGAGAUAAUUAUUUUAAAACUUCUCAUUUCAAUGUGUACCUUAAAAAAAUAAAUACAUUUUGGGCCAGGUGCGAUGGUUCAUGCCUGUAAUCCCAGCACUUUGGGAGGCCGAGGUGGGCAGAUCAUGAGGUCAGUUUGAGACCAGCCUGGCCAACAUAGUGAAACUCCGUCUCUACUAAAAAUAAAAAUAAAAAAAUUAGCUGGGCAUAGUGGCACGUACCUGUAGUCCCAGCUACUUAGGAGGCUGAAGCAGGAGAAUCGCUUGAACCCAUGAGGCAGAGGUUGUGGUGAGCCCAAAUUGCGCCACUGCACUCCAGCCUGGGCAACAGAGCAAGACUCCAUCUCAAAAAACCAAUCAACCAACCAACCAACAAAAAACAUUUCACAUCUCCCUGACGUAGCCAACAUUUUCUCCAACAUUCUCUUAUUUUGAUGGCAGAAGGGCAUAACUGUAAAUCUCAGUUUUUAUAUGGUAUUGUAUAAUAUAGUGGCAUCCUUUGCGGCCAGUUGAUUGUGAAGAGCAGUUUGCCUUUACUUAGCUUCCAUGAACAUUAGCUUUAAAUGCUCAUUGACAUUAAUGAGAGCCAGUUUGCUAAAUCUGUGUCUCCUUCAUGUUCAUUUGCUACUUAGUUUUGUUGAUUCCAAGAAGUCACUAAUUUUUUUAAAUCAUAGAUUCUGAUUUCGAGGUAGCUUCAUUUUUCUAGUGUUGAGUAAAAUGUGUGUGUGUGUGUGCUUUAGUUUAAUUAAUACUAAUUUUUAUUCAAAAUAUAUUUGUUGAGCACUUACUCUCUGCUGUGGCUGGGCAUACAUUACUUUCUUUCCACAGUCCGUUGGUUGAAUUGUCCUGAGCAGGGGUUGACAAAUGAUGGCCUGUGAGCCAAAUCUACCCCACUGCCUGUUUUUGUAAAUAAAGCUUUAUCAGAACAU
RNAcentral lists this long non-coding RNA (3828 nucleotides) under Homo sapiens (human). RNAcentral's name for it is "non-protein coding LINC01122:11". The record is from RNAcentral. Lineage: Eukaryota; Metazoa; Chordata; Mammalia; Primates; Hominidae.